GGAUCUGAGGCUUCAAAUUGCUCAAGGGGCUGCAAGAGGACUAGCGUACUUGCACCUAGCGUGCGAGCCUCAUAUCUUGCACCGAGAUAUAAAGUCUAGUAACAUUCUUCUUGACGAAAAUUUCGAAGCUCACUUAGCUGAUUUCGGUCUUGCAAGGAUUAUUCGGCCCUACGACACUCAUGUGACCACUGAUGUUGUCGGAACAUUAGGC
Molecule: unclassified non-coding RNA, 211 nt
Filed under: Hevea brasiliensis (rubber tree)
Lineage: Eukaryota; Viridiplantae; Streptophyta; Magnoliopsida; Malpighiales; Euphorbiaceae
Source: RNAcentral